GAUGGAGGCCGCUGUGGCAGGAGGAGUGGACCUGCACCGACAGCAUGCCGUGUAAGGAAGCGUGCUGCCUUCAAGUGUCCCUGCUGCAGGGAGGACACGUCAGUCCACUGGUCCAAAGCUGCCCCGAAGAGGAGGAGGUCCUCCAAAUUUCAACCGGCAGUAGAAAAGGCAGCCGUUCCUCCCUCAGCCAUCCCACACCACACCCUCCCAGUGGCAUCACUCGUCCCGCGCGUCCCACCACCCCGCGCUUGUACUCCGCUGGAGGCAGUAAGCAUCCACGGCCUCACAGUGCAGCAACACCAGCGGUUAUAUCACCAGGUGGUGGAUGACAAACUGAGGUUCAAGAAUGGCCAACCACGUCCGUACAGCCUUGAUCUGGGACGUGUGAUCAAGCAAAAGCUGUGGGAACAUCAGUCAAGCCCCACCUUUUCUGAAACUGAGGAUGAGAACGGAAGAGUGGAGGUCACUCCAUCAUACGGAGGUGGAGUCUUCCCUCCUCUGUAUGAUGUGGACGUUAGCCUGGAGCCCAAACCACCCAAGUUGAAAAACAACUACUUUGAGUAAAUAUGAAGGAAGGGGUAGAAGACCAGAAGAGGAGGUGGGGGUCACUUUAAUUACCUUCCCCAUCCCUUUAACCCCCACUCUGCCUCUUUUGACUCCUACCUUCAUGUUUGUCCAAAGUAUGCUACAACACACGACUUUGUGAACUG
Nerophis ophidion (straightnose pipefish) is the source of this 710-nucleotide long non-coding RNA. RefSeq lists it as uncharacterized. The record is from RefSeq and is a predicted model, not a curated record. The transcript has 3 exons. NCBI's taxonomy places the organism in Eukaryota, Metazoa, Chordata, Actinopteri, Syngnathiformes, Syngnathidae.